UACAGAGGUCCCAAGCGUUGUUCGGAUUCAUUGGGCGUAAAGGGUGCGUAGACUGUGAGGUAAGUCUGGUGUGAAAUCCCGGGGCUCAACCCCGGAACUGCACUGGAUACUGCUUUACUAGAGCACUGGAGAGGGAACUGGAAUUUACGGUGUAGCAGUGAAAUGCGUAGAUAUCUGGAGGAACACCGGUGGCGAAGGCGGCAUCCUGGACCGGUAUUGACGCUGAUGCGCGAAAGCCAGGGGAGCAAACGGG
Molecule: ribosomal RNA, 253 nt
Filed under: uncultured bacterium
Lineage: Bacteria
Description: partial 16S ribosomal RNA
Rfam family: Bacterial small subunit ribosomal RNA
Source: RNAcentral